RNAcentral lists this ribosomal RNA (183 nucleotides) under Acartia tonsa. RNAcentral's name for it is "partial 16S ribosomal RNA". The record is from RNAcentral. Lineage: Eukaryota; Metazoa; Arthropoda; Copepoda; Calanoida; Acartiidae.
UUUGGGGUAAAUAAAAAUGAAAGUAUUNUUGAACUAAACUGAUCUUGAUAAAACUAGGUGAAAAAGGUACUCUAGGGAUAACAGCGUUAUAAUUAUUAAAGCCCAUAUUAAAAUAAUUGUUUGCGACCUCGAUGUUGAAUUGCGAAUUNCUUCCUAAAGCAGAAAUUAGGAAUAAANAGGUCU